This 463-nucleotide ribosomal RNA is filed under the name Indian arecanut yellow leaf disease phytoplasma. RNAcentral describes it as "bacterial SSU rRNA". It matches the Rfam family "Bacterial small subunit ribosomal RNA", at positions 637 to 1110 of the family's 1533-position model. Lineage: Bacteria; Bacillati; Mycoplasmatota; Mollicutes; Acholeplasmatales; Acholeplasmataceae. The record is from RNAcentral.
UAGACAGGAGGUGAGAUAGAGGCAGUGGAAUUCCAUGUGUAGCGGUAAAAUGCGUAAAUAUAUGGAGGAACGCCAGAGGCGUAGGCGGCUUGCUGGGUCUUUACUGACGCUGAGGCACGAAAGCGUGGGGAGCAAACAGGAUUAGAUACCCUGGUAGUCCACGCCGUAAACGAUGAGUACUAAGUGUCGGGAUUACUCGGUACUGAAGUUAACACAUUAAGUACUCCGCCUGAGUAGUACGUACGCAAGUAUGAAACUUAAAGGAAUUGACGGGACUCCGCACAAGCGGUGGAUCAUGUUGUUUAAUUCGAAGAUACACGAAAAACCUUACCAGGUCUUGACAUACUCUGCAAAGCUAUAGCAAUAUAGUGGAGGUUAUCAGGGAUACAGGUGGUGCAUGGUUGUCGUCAGCUCGUGUCGUGAGAUGUUAGGUUAAGUCCUAAAACGAGCGCAACCCUUGUCA